This 253-nucleotide ribosomal RNA is filed under the name uncultured bacterium. Its description in RNAcentral is "partial 16S ribosomal RNA". It matches the Rfam family "Bacterial small subunit ribosomal RNA", at positions 524 to 776 of the family's 1533-position model. The record is from RNAcentral.
UACGGGGGGGGCAAGCGUUGUUCGGAAUUACUGGGCGUAAAGGGCUCGUAGGUGGCCAACUAAGUCAGACGUGAAAUCCCUCGGCUUAACCGGGGAACUGCGUCUGAUACUGGAUGGCUUGAGUUUGGGAGAGGGAUGCGGAAUUCCAGGUGUAGAGGUGAAAUGCGUAGAUAUCUGGAGGAACACCGGUGGCGAAGGCGGCAUCCUGGACCAACACUGACACUGAGGAGCGAAAGCCAGGGGAGCAAACGGG